AACGAACGCUGGCGGCAGGCUUAACACAUGCAAGUCGAGCGAGACCUUCGGGUCUAGCGGCGGACGGGUGAGUAACGCGUGGGAACGUGCCCUUCUCUACGGAAUAGCCCCGGGAAACUGGGAGUAAUACCGUAUACGCCCUUUGGGGGAAAGAUUUAUCGGAGAAGGAUCGGCCCGCGUUGUAUUAGGUAGUUGGUGGGGUAAUGGCCCACCAAGCCGACGAUCCAUAGCUGGUUUGAGAGGAUGAUCAGCCACACUGGGACUGAGACACGGCCCAGACUCCUACGGGAGGCAGCAGUGGGGAAUCUUAGACAAUGGGGGCAACCCUGAUCUAGCCAUGCCGCGUGAGUGAUGAAGGCCUUAGGGUUGUAAAGCUCUUUCAGCUGGGAAGAUAAUGACGGUACCAGCAGAAGAAGCCCCGGCUAACUCCGUG
This 433-nucleotide ribosomal RNA is filed under the name uncultured bacterium. Its description in RNAcentral is "partial 16S ribosomal RNA". It matches the Rfam family "Bacterial small subunit ribosomal RNA", at positions 29 to 507 of the family's 1533-position model. The record is from RNAcentral.